CAGAGGGGGCAAGCGUUGUUCGGAAUUACUGGGCGUAAAGGGCGCGUAGGCGGCCUUCUAAGUCGAACGUGAAAUCCCCGGGCUCAACCCGGGAACUGCGUCCGAUACUGGAAGGCUUGAAUCCGGGAGAGGGAUGCGGAAUUCCAGGUGUAGCGGUGAAAUGCGUAGAUAUCUGGAGGAACACCGGUGGCGAAGGCGGCAUCCUGGACCGGCAUUGACGCUGAGGCGCGAAAGCCAGGGGAGCAAACGGGAUUAGAUACCCCGGUAGUCCUGGCCCUAAACGAUGAAUGCUUGGUGUGGCGGGUAUCGAUCCCUGCCGUGCCGAAGCUAACGCAUUAAGCAUUCCGCCUGGGGAUACGGUCGCAAGGCUG
RNAcentral lists this ribosomal RNA (371 nucleotides) under uncultured organism. RNAcentral describes it as "bacterial SSU rRNA". It matches the Rfam family "Bacterial small subunit ribosomal RNA", at positions 526 to 896 of the family's 1533-position model. The record is from RNAcentral.